RNAcentral lists this ribosomal RNA (515 nucleotides) under uncultured bacterium. RNAcentral's name for it is "partial 16S ribosomal RNA". It matches the Rfam family "Bacterial small subunit ribosomal RNA", at positions 28 to 523 of the family's 1533-position model. The record is from RNAcentral.
GAUGAACGCUGGCGGCGUGCCUAAUACAUGCAAGUCGAGCGAAUGGAUUAAGAGCUUGCUCUUAUGAAGUUAGCGGCGGACGGGUGAGUAACACGUGGGUAACCUGCCCAUAAGACUGGGAUAACUCCGGGAAACCGGGGCUAAUACCGGAUAAUAUUUUGAACUGCAUGGUUCAAAAUUGAAAGGCGGCUUCGGCUGUCACUUAUGGAUGGACCCGCGUCGCAUUAGCGAGUUGGUGAGGUAACGGCUCACCAAGGCAACGAUGCGUAGCCGAACUGGGAGGGUGAUCGGCCACACUGGGACUGGGACACGGCCCAGACUCCUACGGGAGGCAGCAGUAGGGAAUCUUCCGCAAUGGACGAAAGUCUGACGGAGCAACGCCGCGUGAGUGAUGAAGGCUUUCGGGUCGUAAAACUCUGUUGUUAGGGAAGAACAAGUGCUAGUUGAAUAAGCUGGCACCUUGACGGUACCUAACCAGAAAGCCACGGCUAACUACGUGCCAGCCGCCGCGGUAA